RNAcentral lists this ribosomal RNA (301 nucleotides) under uncultured bacterium. RNAcentral's name for it is "partial 16S ribosomal RNA". It matches the Rfam family "Bacterial small subunit ribosomal RNA", at positions 509 to 809 of the family's 1533-position model. The record is from RNAcentral.
CAGCCGCCGCGGGAAUACAGAGGGUGCGAGCGUUAAUCGGAUUUACUGGGCGUAAAGCGUGCGUAGGCGGCUUCUUAAGUCGGAUGUGAAAUCCCUGAGCUUAACUUAGGAAUUGCAUUCGAUACUGGGAAGCUAGAGUAUGGGAGAGGAUGGUAGAAUUCCAGGUGUAGCGGUGAAAUGCGUAGAGAUCUGGAGGAAUACCGAUGGCGAAGGCAGCCAUCUGGCCUAAUACUGACGCUGAGGUACGAAAGCAUGGGGAGCAAACAGGAUUAGAUACCCCGGUAGUCCCUGUCUCUUAUAA